GGGGUUAUGGCUCAGUGGUAGAGCAUGCACUUGGUAUGCACCAGGUCCUGGGUUUAAUCCCCAGUACUUCUG
This 72-nucleotide transfer RNA is filed under the name Camelus bactrianus (Bactrian camel). It matches the Rfam family "tRNA". From Rfam's summary of the family: Transfer RNA (tRNA) molecules are approximately 80 nucleotides in length. Lineage: Eukaryota; Metazoa; Chordata; Mammalia; Artiodactyla; Camelidae. The record is from Rfam by way of RNAcentral. RNAcentral also lists the same sequence under 2 other names.